UUCUUUUCAUAGGUCUUUUUGCUUUGUUGGUUGUUCUAUUCCGGUCUGGUUACUCAGAUCACUUUAAGUUUGAGUAAUAGAAUAGUCGUUUGUUGUCCAAAAAAAACACAUAUAACUGAAUAAUUAUUUUUUUCGAAACUUUCAUCAAAAAAAAAAACAUUAUUAGUCUCGAAAAUUUGGAUUAGUAUAGGUAAUUGUGUUCAUUUAGUGAAUGCUAAUUUUGAGUAGAGAGAAAGAUUUGG
This 242-nucleotide long non-coding RNA is filed under the name Brassica rapa (field mustard). RNAcentral's name for it is "long non-coding RNA (BRAP_LNC005868)". Lineage: Eukaryota; Viridiplantae; Streptophyta; Magnoliopsida; Brassicales; Brassicaceae. The record is from RNAcentral.